AUUGAACGCUGGCGGCAGGCCUAACACAUGCAAGUCGAACGGUAACAGGAAGAAGCUUGCUUCUUUGCUGACGAGUGGCGGACGGGUGAGUAAUGUCUGGGAAACUGCCUGAUGGAGGGGGAUAACUACUGGAAACGGUAGCUAAUACCGCAUAACGUCGCAAGACCAAAGAGGGGGACCUUCGGGCCUCUUGCCAUCGGAUGUGCCCAGAUGGGAUUAGCUAGAGGUGGGGUAACGGCUCACCUAGGCGACGAUCCCUAGCUGGGUCUGACGAGGAUGACCAGCCACACUGGAACUGAGACACGGUCCAGACUCCUACGGGAG
This 324-nucleotide ribosomal RNA is filed under the name uncultured bacterium. Its description in RNAcentral is "bacterial SSU rRNA". It matches the Rfam family "Bacterial small subunit ribosomal RNA", at positions 30 to 347 of the family's 1533-position model. The record is from RNAcentral.